RNAcentral lists this non-coding RNA (946 nucleotides) under Padogobius martensii. RNAcentral's name for it is "partial 12S ribosomal RNA". It matches the Rfam family "Bacterial small subunit ribosomal RNA". Lineage: Eukaryota; Metazoa; Chordata; Actinopteri; Gobiiformes; Gobiidae. The record is from RNAcentral.
CAAAAGCUUGGUCCUGACUUUACUAUUAGCUUUGAUUGACCUUAUACAUGCGAGUCUCUGCACCCCUGUGAGAAUGCCCUUCCAUUCCCCGCCCGGGAAAAAGGAGCCGGCAUCAGGCACAACCCUGUGUUAGCCCACAACGCCUUGCUUAGCCACACCCCCAAGGGAACCCAGCAGUAAUAAACAUUAAGCCAUAAGUGUAAACUUGACUUAGUUAAUAUCAAGAGGGCCGGUUAAACUCGUGCCAGCCACCGCGGUUAUACGAGGGGCCCAAGUUAAUAGAAGCCGGCGUAAAGCGUGGUUAAUAAAUAGUACACUAAAGCCGAACACCUUCAAAGCUGUUAUACGCACCCGAAGGCAGGAAGACCUCUAACGAAAGUGGCUUUAAAAAUAUGAACCCACGAAAGCUAGGACACAAACUGGGAUUAGAUACCCCACUAUGCCUAGCCAUAAACAAAGAUGACCUAUUACACAUCAUUCGCCAGGGGACAACGAGCCCCAGCUUGAAACCCAAAGGACUUGGCGGUGCUUUAGACCCCCCUAGAGGAGCCUGUUCUAGAAUCGAUGCUCCCCGUUCAACCUCACCCCCUCUUGUUUUUCCCGCCUAUAUACCGCCGUCGUCAGCUUACCCUGUGAAGGACUAAUAGUAAGCAAAAUUGGCAAAGCCCAAAACGUCAGGUCAAGGUGUAGCAUACGAGGGGUGGAAGAAAUGGGCUACAUUUGCUGACUCAGCAAAUACGGACGCUGCACUGAAAAAGCAGCUAAAGGAGGAUUUAGCAGUAAGAGGAGGAAUAGAGAGCCCCUCUGAAAACGGCCCUGAAGCGCGCACACACCGCCCGUCACUCUCCCCAAUAAACCAAACUAAAUAGCUAAUGACACACCAUAUACUAAGGGGAGGCAAGUCGUAACAUGGUAAGUAUACCGGAAGGUGUACUUGGAAAACCCC